AACGAACGCUGGCGGCAUGCCUAACACAUGCAAGUCGAACGAGACCUUCGGGUCUAGUGGCGCACGGGUGCGUAACGCGUGGGAACCUGCCCUUAGGUUCGGAAUAACUCCCCGAAAGGGGUGCUAAUACCGGAUAAUGUCUUCGGACCAAAGAUUUAUCGCCUUUGGAUGGGCCCGCGUUGGAUUAGCUAGUUGGUAGGGUAAAAGCCUACCAAGGCGACGAUCCAUAGCUGGUCUGAGAGGAUGAUCAGCCACACUGGGACUGAGACACGACCCAGACUCCUACGGGAGGCAGCAGUGGGGAAUAUUGGACAAGGGGCGAAAGCCUGAUCCAGCAAUGCCGCGUGAGUGAUGAAGGCCUUAGGGUUGUAAAGCUCUUUUACCCGGGAUGAUAAUGACAGUACCGGGAGAAUAAGCUCCGGCUAACUCCGUG
This 433-nucleotide ribosomal RNA is filed under the name uncultured bacterium. RNAcentral's name for it is "partial 16S ribosomal RNA". It matches the Rfam family "Bacterial small subunit ribosomal RNA", at positions 29 to 507 of the family's 1533-position model. The record is from RNAcentral.